GUACACACCGCCCGUCACACCAUGGGAGUUGGUUUUACCUUAAGACGGUGUGCCAACCGCAAGGAGGCAGCCGGCCACGGUARKGUCAGCGACURRGGUGAAGUCGUAACAAGGUAGCCGUAGGUGAACCUGCAGAAGGAUCA
RNAcentral lists this ribosomal RNA (143 nucleotides) under uncultured eukaryote. RNAcentral's name for it is "partial small subunit ribosomal RNA". The record is from RNAcentral.